Molecule: non-coding RNA, 26 nt
Filed under: Cricetulus griseus (Chinese hamster)
Lineage: Eukaryota; Metazoa; Chordata; Mammalia; Rodentia; Cricetidae
Source: RNAcentral
CUAGCAUCACAAGUAUUAGAGGCAAU